RNAcentral lists this ribosomal RNA (465 nucleotides) under uncultured bacterium. Its description in RNAcentral is "partial 16S ribosomal RNA". It matches the Rfam family "Bacterial small subunit ribosomal RNA", at positions 28 to 507 of the family's 1533-position model. The record is from RNAcentral.
GACGAACGCUGGCGGCGUGCUUAACACAUGCAAGUCGAACGGAAAGGCCCUGCUUGCAGGGUCCUCGAGUGGCGCACGGGUGAGUAACACGUGGGUGCUCCGCCCUGCACUUCGGGAUAUGCCUGGAAAACUGGGUCAUAUACCGGAUAGGAGCUAUCUUCAUGGUGGGGGUUGGAAAGUUUUUUCGGUGUUGGAUGAGAUCGCGGCCUAUCAGCUUGUUGGUGGGGUAAUGGCCUACCAAGGCGGCGACGGGUAGCCGGCCUGAGAGGGUGGACGGCCACAUUGGGACUGAGAUACGGCCCAGACGCCUACGGGAGGCAGCAGUGGGGAAUAUUGCACAAUGGGCGCAAGCCUGAUGCAGCGACGCCGCGUGGGGGAUGACGGCCUUCGGGUUGUAAACUCCUUUCGCUAGGGACGAAGCUUUUUGUGACGGUACCUAGAUAAGAAGCACCGGCUAACUACGUG